GCGGCCUUCGUCCACUCCAGUUCGCGUCGCCGGCGAACGGCGGCCUCCGCGGAUGCCCCCCCCCCCCCCCUCCCCCUCCACAUGGUCUCGACGCAAUGCACCUGAAGAGGAAAGCGGCCAAGUUCCAUCUUGCCGCAAUGCCGUCCUGAGCGUCGCCGUCGCGGAUCUCCUCCUGAAGACCCCACUCCUGGGGUGGGGGUGCGCCGUACGCGUCGCGUGCGUGGUGUGGCCGUGACAUCCAACAGCCGUGGACGACGACGACGGCGACGCCCACCGAUGGCGAGUCCUGCCCUUGGGUGUGCGGUGGGAAGGGGACUUGCACGCUCGCCGCCAGGUUCGGCGGCCGGGACGGUGGUGGCUGGCUUGGACUCACGAGUGGCCUCACGCGCAUGCCACCUGUUCGACAGAAUGCCUGACCCAAGGGGCUACCACCAGCUGGCGGGCAUCAGUAACUUCCGCAGUUGAAGUGUGUAGACUGUCUUCUUACAAGAACAAGAACAUGGACCUAUCAAAAGUAAAAACUGGCCAGAUACGAUGCAACUUUACUGAUGGCGUGCAUUUCGCCUAUAUGGCCACUCAGGCAGGCGUUGCCAGUUACCGAAAUGCUACGCCACCACUUACCCUCCAACUAUGUAUCCAAGGUAACUUUCAUGCUUUUCCUUUGCCUCCUUUUCUUCACGAAAGAAUUACCAGUAUUGCUCAUGAGACAGAAGGGUGGACUUCAACACUAGAAUUUUGCACGUCGUUCCACUAAAAACAAAAUUAGGUUGGGGGAAACUCCUACUGGGGGUAGUAAAAUUAUGGAUCGUGGAGGGUUGGAUGUGUGAUAAACGCUGCGUGUAAAUAAAUGGUUUCUUAGUAAUUAUGAAAAAAAAACUUGCACGCUCAAUAUCGUGAUUUUCCAAAUGCUCUGUGUCGUACAUGCAAUGAAACCAUCAAAUUGUUCCAUUGUUAGGCUACGAGACUAACGAAGUUACUCCCCCUCCCCUAUUUUUAUGUAUAUAACGUUAUUAACAUACCCUUCUGUCCUAAAAAAAUAUCUAAUCAUAUUUUUAUGUAGUUAAAGUUUGCUCUUUUUUUUUUUACAUAGUAUAUGUUUAACCACCGGUCUUAUACGAGUGGAGUUGUAGGUCCACUAAGCACAACUAUGAGUUUCUCAUAUUUAGGAAGGGACUCGGAUCGACACGCGGUUAUAAAAUGGAUCCACUUUAGUUCGACUGCGUCCACUCUCUAGUGUAUCUAAACUGCGUCCACUCUCUAGUGUAUCUCCUUUUAGUAGAAGAAAAAUG
Molecule: non-coding RNA, 1289 nt
Organism: Oryza sativa Japonica Group (Japanese rice)
Lineage: Eukaryota; Viridiplantae; Streptophyta; Magnoliopsida; Poales; Poaceae
Source: RefSeq, a predicted model, not a curated record